Molecule: ribosomal RNA, 293 nt
Filed under: uncultured bacterium
Lineage: Bacteria
Description: partial 16S ribosomal RNA
Rfam family: Bacterial small subunit ribosomal RNA
Source: RNAcentral
AUUGAACGCUGGCGGCAUGCCUUACACAUGCAAGUCGAACGGCAGCACGGGAGCAAUCCUGGUGGCGAGUGGCGAACGGGUGAGUAAUAUAUCGGAACGUGCCCAGUCGUGGGGGAUAACGUAGCGAAAGCUACGCUAAUACCGCAUACGAUCUAUGGAUGAAAGCGGGGGAUCGCAAGACCUCGCGCGAUUGGAGCGGCCGAUAUCAGAUUAGGUAGUUGGUGAGGUAAAGGCUCACCAAGCCGACGAUCUGUAGCUGGUCUGAGAGGACGACCAGCCACACUGGGACUGGA